GCGAAAACUUUACAAUGCUGGCAACAGCGAUAAGGGAACCUCGAGUGCCAGGUUACAAAUCUGGCUGUCGAGAUGCCUAAAAAGCAUUUCAUAGCAAGGGCCGGGCAAGACCGGUGCCAGCCGCCGCGGUAACACCGGCGGCUCGAGUGGUAACCGUUAUUAUUGGGUCCAAAGGGUCUGUAGCCGGCCGGAUAAGUCUCUUGAGAAAUCUGGCAGCUUAACUGUCAGGCUUUCAGGAGGUACUGGCUGGCUCGAGGCCGGGAGAGGUGGGAGGGACUUCCGGGGUAGGUGUGAAAUCUUGUAAUCCUUGAGGGACCACCAGUUGCGGAGGCGUCUCACCAGAACGGACCUGACGGCAAGGGACGAAAGCUAGGGGCACGAACC
RNAcentral lists this ribosomal RNA (384 nucleotides) under uncultured prokaryote. RNAcentral describes it as "bacterial SSU rRNA". It matches the Rfam family "Archaeal small subunit ribosomal RNA", at positions 341 to 725 of the family's 1478-position model. The record is from RNAcentral.